CUAUGCGCCUUGCCAGCCCGCUCAGGUGUGCCAGCAGCCGCGGUAAUACGUAGGUGGCAAGCGUUGUCCGGAUUUACUGGGUGUAAAGGGCGUGUAGCCGGGCCGGCAAGUCAGAUGUGAAAUCCCAAGGCUCAACCUUGGAACUGCAUUUGAAACUGUUGGUCUUGAGUAUCGGAGAGGUAAUCGGAAUUCCUAGUGUAGCGGUGAAAUGCGUAGAUAUUAGGAAGAACACCAGUGGCGAAGGCGGAUUACUGGACGACAACUGACGGUGAGGCGCGAAAGCGUGGGUAGCAAACAGG
RNAcentral lists this ribosomal RNA (299 nucleotides) under uncultured bacterium. RNAcentral's name for it is "partial 16S ribosomal RNA". It matches the Rfam family "Bacterial small subunit ribosomal RNA", at positions 475 to 776 of the family's 1533-position model. The record is from RNAcentral.